Betta splendens (Siamese fighting fish) is the source of this 775-nucleotide long non-coding RNA. RefSeq lists it as uncharacterized. The record is from RefSeq and is a predicted model, not a curated record. The transcript is spliced from 3 exons. NCBI's taxonomy places the organism in Eukaryota, Metazoa, Chordata, Actinopteri, Anabantiformes, Osphronemidae.
GUGAAAGGAGCCUCGCUGAGCUCUGAGAGAAGAACCCCCCCCCCGUCAGUCUGCAGAAACACUUAGUUCGUAGUAAAUGUACUCAUAAUUGGCUUCAUCAUUCAGCUUGUCGUUAGGGUUGGAGGCACUCAAGUCAUCGGAGUCAAGCCCAAAGCAUCACAGGGACAGGAUCACCACAGCGAGUGCAAGAAGGCAAAGACGUCUCCCGGCCAGAUGCAGUAAUACCACAUGUUUAGACCGGAUGCUGGAAGGAAACUUUCUGCACUGAAAUUGAACUUGAGCCAAUUCAACAGUGUGGAUGAGUGCACGCUGGAAAGGAGGUAGCUAUUUUUUUUUUUUUUUUUUUUUUACAGACAAUGACAAACAGUGAAAGUGUUGACUGUCUCUCUCCAGGAACCGGAGGCAAACAGCAGUAAUCACAGAGGGGCACGAUGGGCCGGCGCCGAGGCUUCACAUCCCAGCGACCCGCACCCGCAGCCACCGGGCCCGCGGACCGCCGCCCUCAUCUACCGCAACGCUUACCGAGAUUAAAAUAAUACGCAGCUGGAGGCUGGGAGUCAUUUGUAGGAGCUCUGCUCUCAUUGCCGUCUCCUUGCAGGGCUUUUUUUUUUCCCGGUUUGGAAGCUGAGGCUGUCCCUCUCCCGCGACCCCAGGGUGGCAGUCUGUCAGAACGGACUGACACCAAACCAAUGUCUAAUGGCUCUUAAGCCAUAAAUAUGGCCACAGAGCUGACAGCCUGGAUCUACACUUCCCCAUUAUCUUGAUUCAUUCCACC